GAGGGUACAGCUCAGUGGUAGAGUGUGUGCUUAGCAUGCACAAGGUCCUAGGUUCAAUCCCCAAUAACUCCA
This 72-nucleotide transfer RNA is filed under the name Camelus bactrianus (Bactrian camel). It matches the Rfam family "tRNA". Rfam says of the family: Transfer RNA (tRNA) molecules are approximately 80 nucleotides in length. Their secondary structure includes four short double-helical elements and three loops (D, anti-codon, and T loops). Further hydrogen bonds mediate the characteristic L-shaped molecular structure. tRNAs have two regions of fundamental functional importance: the anti-codon, which is responsible for specific mRNA codon recognition, and the 3' end, to which the tRNAs corresponding amino acid is attached (by aminoacyl-tRNA synthetases). tRNAs cope with the degeneracy of the genetic code in two manners: having more than one tRNA (with a specific anti-codon) for a particular amino acid; and 'wobble' base-pairing, i.e. permitting non-standard base-pairing at the 3rd anti-codon position. The record is from Rfam by way of RNAcentral. RNAcentral also lists the same sequence under 2 other names. Lineage: Eukaryota; Metazoa; Chordata; Mammalia; Artiodactyla; Camelidae.